Molecule: ribosomal RNA, 829 nt
Filed under: Oceanobacillus picturae
Lineage: Bacteria; Bacillati; Bacillota; Bacilli; Caryophanales; Bacillaceae
Description: bacterial SSU rRNA
Rfam family: Bacterial small subunit ribosomal RNA
Source: RNAcentral
GUUGAUCCCCUUCGGGGGUGACGCUUGUGGAAUGAGCGGCGGACGGGUGAGUAACACGUGGGCAACCUGCCUGUAAGACUGGGAUAACCCCGGGAAACCGGGGCUAAUACCGGAUAAUACUUUCUUUUGCAUAAAGGAAAGUUGAAAGGCGGCUUCGGCUGUCACUUACAGAUGGGCCCGCGGCGCAUUAGCUAGUUGGUGAGGUAACGGCUCACCAAGGCGACGAUGCGUAGCCGACCUGAGAGGGUGAUCGGCCACACUGGGACUGAGACACGGCCCAGACUCCUACGGGAGGCAGCAGUAGGGAAUCUUCCGCAAUGGACGAAAGUCUGACGGAGCAACGCCGCGUGAGUGAUGAAGGUUUUCGGAUCGUAAAACUCUGUUGUUAGGGAAGAACAAGUACGAUAGUAACUGAUCGUACCUUGACGGUACCUAACCAGAAAGCCACGGCUAACUACGUGCCAGCAGCCGCGGUAAUACGUAGGUGGCAAGCGUUGUCCGGAAUUAUUGGGCGUAAAGCGCUCGCAGGCGGUCCUUUAAGUCUGAUGUGAAAUCUCGCGGCUCAACCGCGAACGGUCAUUGGAAACUGGAGGACUUGAGUACAGAAGAGGAGAGUGGAAUUCCACGUGUAGCGGUGAAAUGCGUAGAGAUGUGGAGGAACACCAGUGGCGAAGGCGACUCUCUGGUCUGUAACUGACGCUGAGGAGCGAAAGCGUGGGGAGCGAACAGGAUUAGAUACCCUGGUAGUCCACGCCGUAAACGAUGAGUGCUAGGUGUUAGGGGGUUUCCGCCCCUUAGUGCUGAAGUUAACGCAUUAAGCACUCCGCCU